GACGAACGCUGGCGGCAGGCUUAACACAUGCAAGUCGAGCGAGACCUUCGGGUCUAGCGGCGGACGGGGGAGUAACGCGGGGGAACGUGCCCUUCUCUACGGAAUAGCCCCGGGAAACUGGGAGUAAUACCGUAUACGCCCUUUGGGGGUAGGAUUUAUCGGAGCAGGAUCGGCCCGCGUUGGAUUCGGUAGUUGGUGGGGUAAUGGCCCACCAAGCCGACGAUCCAUAGCUGGUGUGAGAGGAUGAUCAGCCACACUGGGACUGAGACACGGCCCAGACUCCUACGGGAAGCAGCAGUGGGGAAUCUUAGACAAUGGGGGCAACCCUGAUCUAGCCAUGCCGCGUGAGUGAUGAAGGCCUUAGGGUUGUAAAGCUCUUUCAGCUGGGAAGAUAAUGACGGUACCAGCAGAAGAAGCCCCGGCUAACUCCGUG
RNAcentral lists this ribosomal RNA (433 nucleotides) under uncultured bacterium. RNAcentral describes it as "partial 16S ribosomal RNA". It matches the Rfam family "Bacterial small subunit ribosomal RNA", at positions 28 to 507 of the family's 1533-position model. The record is from RNAcentral.